AGAACGAACGCUGGCGGCAUGCCUAACACAUGCAAGUCGAACGAGACCUUCGGGUCUAGUGGCGCACGGGUGCGUAACGCGUGGGAACCUGCCUUUAGGUUCGGAAUAACUCUCCGAAAGGGGUGCUAAUACCGGAUAAUGUCUUCGGACCAAAGAUUUAUCGCCUUUAGAUGGGCCCGCGUAAGAUUAGGUAGUUGGUGGGGUAAAGGCCUACCAAGCCGACGAUCUUUAGCUGGUCUGAGAGGAUGAUCAGCCACACUGGGACUGAGACACGGCCCAGACUCCUACGGGAGGCAGCAGUGGGGAAUAUUGGACAAUGGGCGAAAGCCUGAUCCAGCAAUGCCGCGUGAGUGAUGGAAGGCCUUAGGGUUGUAAAGCUACUUUUACUGGGUAUGAGUAAUGGACACGUACCCAGAGAAUAAGCUACCGGCUAACGUCCGUGCCAGCAGCCGAC
RNAcentral lists this ribosomal RNA (454 nucleotides) under uncultured soil bacterium. RNAcentral's name for it is "bacterial SSU rRNA". It matches the Rfam family "Bacterial small subunit ribosomal RNA", at positions 26 to 518 of the family's 1533-position model. The record is from RNAcentral.